GAUGAACGCUGGCGGCGUGCCUAAUACAUGCAAGUCGAGCGAACGGACGAGAAGCUUGCUUCUCUGAUGUUAGCGGCGGACGGGUGAGUAACACGUGGAUAACCUACCUAUAAGACUGGGAUAACUUCGGGAAACCGGAGCUAAUACCGGAUGAUAUUUUGAACCGCAUGGUUCAAAAGUGAAAGACGGUCUUGCUGGCACUUAUAGAUGGAUCCGCGCUGCAUUAGCUAGUUGGUAAGGUAACGGCUUACCAAGGCAACGAUGCAUAGCCGACCUGAGGGGGUGAUCGGCCACACUGGAACUGAGACACGGUCCAGACUCCUACGGGAGGCAGCAGUAGGGAACCUUCCGCAAAGGGCGAAAGCCUGACGGAGCAACGCCGCGUGAGUGAUGAAGGUCUUCGGAUCGUAAAACUCUGUUAUUAGGGAAGAACAUAUGUGUAAGUAACUGUGCACAUCUUGACGGUACCUAAUCAGAAAGCCACGGCUAACUACGUG
Molecule: ribosomal RNA, 497 nt
Filed under: uncultured bacterium
Lineage: Bacteria
Description: partial 16S ribosomal RNA
Rfam family: Bacterial small subunit ribosomal RNA
Source: RNAcentral